This 1242-nucleotide ribosomal RNA is filed under the name metagenome. RNAcentral's name for it is "bacterial LSU rRNA". It matches the Rfam family "Bacterial large subunit ribosomal RNA", at positions 1564 to 2816 of the family's 2925-position model. The record is from RNAcentral.
UGAAUACGAGAUGCUACGGCGUCGAAGCAGUCUAUGUCAUACUUCCAAGAAAAGCUCGCACUGUCAUAAACAAAUAAUGCCUGUACCAUAACCGACACAGGUGGGUAGGUAGAGUAUACUAAGGGGCGCGAGAUAACUCUCUCUAAGGAACUCGGCAAAAUGACUCCGUAACUUCGGGAGAAGGAGUGCCUUAUUUAUAAGGUUGCAAUAACAAGAUCCAAGCAACUGUUUAUCAAAAACACAGGUCUCCGCUAAGUCGUAAGACGAUGUAUGGGGGCUGACGCCUGCCCAGUGCCAGAAGGUUAAAGAAGUUGGUUAGCAUUCGCGAAGCUGAUAACUGAAGCCCUGGUGAACGGCGGCCGUAACUAUAACGGUCCUAAAGUAGCGAAAUUCCUUGUCGGGUAAGUUCCGACCCGCACGAAAGGCGUAAUGAUUUGGAUGCUGUCUCGGAGAGGGGCUCGGUGAAAUAGACUUGUCUGUGAAGAUGCGGACUACCUGCACCAGGACAGAAAGACCCUAUGAAGCUUUACUGUAACUUGAGAUUGAAAUUGGACUUUACUUGCGCAGUAUAGGUGGGAGGCGUUGAUAAUAUUCUUGCGGGAUUAUUUGAGCCAUCAGUGAGGUACCACUCUUGUAAUGUUAGAUUUCUAACUUUGUAUCAUUAUCUGGUCAAAGGACAGUUUCAGGCGGGCAGUUUGACUGGGGCGGUCGCCUCCUAAACGGUAACGGAGGCGCACAAAGGUUUCCUCUGAACGGGUAGAAAUCGUAUCUAGAGUGUAAAGGCAUAAGGAAGCUUGACUGUGAGACCUACAAGUCGAGCAGGGACGAAAGUCGGUCUUAGUGAUCUGACGGUGCUGAGUGGAAAGGCCGUCACUCAACGGAUAAAAGUUACUCUAGGAUAACAGGCUGAUCUCCCCCAAGAGUUCACAUCGACGGGGAGGUUUGGCACCUCGAUGUCGGCUCAUCGCAUCCUGGGGCGGUAGUACGUCCCAAGGGUUGGGCUGUUCGCCCAUGAAAGCGGUACGCGAGCUGGGUUCAGAACGUCGUGAGACAGUUCGGUCCAUAUCCGGUGUAGGCGUUAGAAUAUUGAGAGGAGCCUUCUUUAGUACGAGAGGACCGAGAAGGACAUACCUCUGGUGUACCAGUUAUCGUGCCAACGGUAAACGCUGGGUAGCUAUGUAUGGAGUGGAUAACCGCUGAAAGCAUCUAAGUGGGAAGCCCACCUCAAGAUAAGUAUUCUCC